UAGCAGCACGUAAAUAUUGGUGUUAAGAUUCUGUAAAUAUCUCCAGUAUUAACUGUGCUGCUGAA
Molecule: microRNA precursor, 65 nt
Filed under: Alligator mississippiensis (American alligator)
Lineage: Eukaryota; Metazoa; Chordata; Crocodylia; Alligatoridae
Description: Ami-Mir-15-P2a_pre stem-loop
Rfam family: mir-16 microRNA precursor family
About the family: The hairpin precursors (represented here) are predicted based on base pairing and cross-species conservation -- their extents are not known. In this case the mature sequence is excised from the 5' arm of the hairpin.
Source: RNAcentral